AGAAGGAGGAGGAGGAGGAGGAGGAGGAGGAGGAGGAGGAGGAGGAGGAGGAGGAGGAGGAGGAGGAGAACUUAUGGCUGCCACGGACUUCUUAAGUAAAGGUCGUGGGUAGCCCUCAGCCACGCAGCGCAGGGUUACACUCUCCCCUUCAUUGACGGUGGUGUCUGAAGAUGUCUGGUCGUUGAUAAUAUCCGGGGGCACUGCGGAAGGUAGGAAUGGCACUGGUCAGCAGCAACAAAAUUAUAAG
Molecule: long non-coding RNA, 247 nt
Organism: Portunus trituberculatus (swimming crab)
Lineage: Eukaryota; Metazoa; Arthropoda; Malacostraca; Decapoda; Portunidae
Exons: 3
Source: RefSeq, a predicted model, not a curated record